Molecule: ribosomal RNA, 249 nt
Filed under: uncultured Corynebacterium sp.
Lineage: Bacteria; Bacillati; Actinomycetota; Actinomycetes; Mycobacteriales; Corynebacteriaceae
Description: partial 16S ribosomal RNA
Rfam family: Bacterial small subunit ribosomal RNA
Source: RNAcentral
UGGGGAAUAUUGCACAAUGGGCGCAAGCCUGAUGCAGCGACGCCGCGUGGGGGAUGACGGCCUUCGGGUUGUAAACUCCUUUCGUUAGGGACGAAGCCACACUUUUUUUGGGUGUGGUGACGGUACCUUUGUUAAGAAGCACCGGCUAACUACGUGCCAGCAGCCGCGGUAAUACGUAGGGUGCGAGCGUUGUCCGGAAUUACUGGGCGUAAAGAGCUCGUAGGUGGUUUGUUGCGUCGUCUGUGAAAU